GGACCGUGCAGGGCCCUCUAUAUGAGGUCAAUCAAUCACUUAUAAAUUAAAACACAGUAAAGCGGCGGCCAUGUUUGUGCCUAAUUCGAAUUGAAACACCACUAACAUGACCAUAACGUUAUAUAUAUAUAGCGUGCAAAUGACCUAUCGUAAAGAAUUACAAGCACUAAAUUCAUUUUAUUAUUACUUAGAAUUCAACACACCAAACUGAUACAAAACAAUUAAUUAUUUAUAUCUUCUUUGAUGAAAAUAUUUUGCUGACAAGUCGUCUCGAAAUCUGUUGUCGCCAUCGGCAACUGUCGCCUUGACAACCCGUCCCUGCUUCCAUAUCCAAUUCCCUGGAAAAUAUAUUUCACUUUUCUUUCCCUUCUUAGCACCUCUCUUUGAUGUAUAGAAAAUGGGAAAUGUCGCCCCAAUUGGCAAUGUAUAAAAAAUCCUCCCAAUUUUCCACUUCUUUGUGCUACGCGGUGUUUGAAUGGGAUAAAAAUUAUGUCUCACUUGACUUAGUUUGCUCCUAUCGUUUUCUGAAGGCUUUGGGAUUUGUGAUCUGUCUCUGUAUGAUGAACUCUCACGCCAUAGUGGUAUUUCGUUAGCACUUUCAUCCAGCACAACAACUGUUAUAACAUCUCGAAUGCAAGUAAAAGCAAGAAAAAACGUCCAUAGUUUAUUUGCCGUAAACAACGUCAUUUCAAUUAGUCAAACACUUUCAGUGAACCAAGGCCAUGUUAACCCAUUGUCCUUUCGUUGACUAGCUUUUAGUAAACACAGCCUUUAAAGUAAAAUGUAUUCUUGCAUACAACAACAAGAACUUGCCUUCUCAUUCAACAACGCUUUAUUUAUUCUAGAGUAAAGCGACUUCAAUUGACUUAAUAUAUU
Paramuricea clavata is the source of this 876-nucleotide non-coding RNA. NCBI's taxonomy places the organism in Eukaryota, Metazoa, Cnidaria, Anthozoa, Malacalcyonacea, Plexauridae. The record is from the annotation of a GenBank genome assembly.